Long non-coding RNA from Hevea brasiliensis (rubber tree), 6434 nucleotides. RefSeq lists it as uncharacterized. The transcript has 2 exons. The record is from RefSeq and is a predicted model, not a curated record. NCBI's taxonomy places the organism in Eukaryota, Viridiplantae, Streptophyta, Magnoliopsida, Malpighiales, Euphorbiaceae.
GCAUAAUUUAAUGUCCAGCAAAGAUUGUGAAGUCACAAUAGUUUCACUCAAGUACCAUCUCCUUAGACAGCAUUUCCUAGACAUGCACUUCAUACAAUUCUAAUAGAAUCAAACUACUGGUAAGUACCGUCUUUCCAUAACACUAUUACGGUACUAAGGAUUUAUGACACGAAGGCAUAGAUAGACAGGAGUCACCACCCGGGUAAUAACCGGGACAUAUUUAGUGUUUCUUCCGAGGGUCGUGGAUGGCAACUUACUCCUUGCAGAGUUUCCACAAUCGUCAUUACCAUAGCCCAAUGUCUAAGUUCGGAACAGUGGAUACGGAAGGGGAAGAUGUUAGGCACCACUUACGUCUGGUCUAACCUCAUUGAUUCGAGUGCCAGUCCCCUACUAAUGUUUCUAGAAGUCUUAUUUAUUAUUCCUUUAUUAAACUUUAUCCUAAAAAAUACAAUUUUAAUCCUACACAUGCAAGUAAUUCACAAAACGAUUGUUGUUUACACACAAUUUUCAUGCACAAAUAAUUCUUAUCUAUGGGGUUGCUAAUUAUUUAAAUGAUAUUUACCAAUAUGAUGAAAAUUAAUUUAUUAUUGAGAAUUUAAUUUACAAAUAAAUUCAAUUUCAAAUAACCAUACGUUUCUAUUUAACAUAAUUAAUUAAUUCUCACCAAGUUAACCCUAAGGAUAAUUGAACUAAGUUAAUUAUGUACAUGUGUAAUUUAUUCUAAUAUCACAUAAGGCCCAAACAAUCACAACCUAAUAAAGAUUUCUAUCAUGCAAAUUUAUUUUAUAAUUAUCAAGUGUUAAAUUAAAUUUAUUUUACAUGUCAAUGUUAGUUUAAUUUACAAAUAAGAUUAAUUUUAAUUUACAAAGUGUUUAUUUAAAUUAAUUACAUAUAAAAGUCAGCUAAAUUAAAAAUAAAGUUAAUUUUAAUUUACCAAAUAAAAAUUCUAUUAUUACUAUAAUUUCAUGCUAAUGGUUAUUCGAGGAGUUUAGAGCUACUUACCUAUUGGUAAAUGCAGUUGCCAUUGGGGCAAGUUACCCUUAAAAAAAGAUAUGCUCUUCUAGUAUGGCAAUAAUAUCCCUGGCUUACUCUCGUUUAGAUCCACAUAAGCUUCACGCAAAUGCCCUCUUUGGUACUUACCUUAGGGUUAUUUGCCAAUUUUGUUUGUAAUAAAAAAUAAAGAAACUAAAUAAAAUAAAAGAAAUAAAGAAAAUAUUAAUAAUAAUUUACAUUGGAUUCUAACUCUAGUCUCCUAAAGGGUUAAGAUUCCUAAUUAGUUACAAUUACCUAAUGGUCUAAGUCUUCUAACAUGAUCCAAACACUUCAUAACACUUCUUGAAUUAAAAGAAUACAGAAAAUAGAUCAAAUAUCAAUUAAAACCCAAGAAAAUACAAGAACAUGCAUAAAUAUACAAUUUUCAAAUUCUGACAGAUUAACGGUUGUAAGAAAUCCGAUUUUUUAAAAAUAGUUAGAGAUGCCUAAAAAUCAUAAAAAAAAAUUACAGAAGACAGCCUACAUAUCAUACAAGAUCAUAAAAUUUAUAAAUCAAAUAAAACCUUAGCCAAAUAGUCUACAUAAAUCGUAACUUUUCUAAGUGAUAAAAUCAUACUACUUUUUUGUAAAAUUCAUAGCUCAUUAACCAUAAUAGAUAUGAACGCAAAACCAAUUGAAAAAGAUUCAUAAGAUUUUGAAAUUAAUUUUAGACACUAGAUUUAUACAAAAAUAUUAAGAAACAAGGGAGAUAUGGGCUCCACAAGUCGGGUAUCUUGCAAAUCGGAUUUUACAGGAAUCCUAACUUCAAACAGCCAUAACUUACAAAAUAUUAAAGCUUUUUUAGUGAUUCUUGAGUCUAAAAUUAAUAGAAUUUCGUGUAGAAUGUGAAUAUAAUUUUUGCAAAUUUUUUACAGAUUCAGAAAAUAACGAAAAAUAAUAAAAAUAUGAGAGAUAGAAAUUAAACAUGUGCAGAGUUGUGUAUCCCCUCAAAUUAAACAUGAUUACAUGAUCUAUAUGAACAUAUAAAAUAAAUUAAAAACAAGGAACAUAUAAUUAAACAUUACAUGGCAUAGAUCUUGAAAAGAAAAUAAAAGAACUAACCUUUAAUAAAUAUCGCCAGAAAAAAAAAGAACUUAAAGAAUUUUGACUAUUCCUCUCUUUAAUUUUUUUUUUAUCUUCUCCUCCACUUUUUUUUUCUCCUCUCUUUCUCCUCCUUUUUUUUUUUUAAUUUUUUAUCAGUAGGGUAUUUAUAGUGUUUUGGGAGAGAGGUGUGAUAGGGUUUGGAGUCAUAGGGUGAUAAAGUUUAGAUAACUUAAACAACUAGGAUUGCAGAAUUUGGGUGAGACUAAGAUGUGGAUGAGGUGUUUCAACUAAUAGGAAGAGAGGGGAAGGGGAAGGGGAAGGGGAAGGGGAAGACACUAAUAGAAAGUGAGGAAGAUGUGUAGUAGGGUUUGAAAUCCUAGUGUGAUAAGGUUCAUAUAACUUAAACAAUUAGGAUUGAGGAAUUUGGGUGAGACUAGGAUAUGGGUGAGGUGUUCCAACCAAUAGGAAGAGAGGGAUAGAGAAAAAUAUAUUUUUUUAUUUUAAUUUUUGAAAAAUAAAUUAAAUAGGUCUUAUUUAAAAUUUCUAACUAGACUUUUUUAGGCUCAUGAGACCCAAUUAAACUCAAUUAACUCUUUUUAAGAACUACCCAUAUCAAAUUUAAACAAAACAAAAUUUUAUUUAAAUUAAAUUAAUUUCUCAAAAAGCGUAUUAUUAUUUUUUUUUUCAAGAUUAUGCCACGAAAUUAAUAAUUUAGUUCUAUGCCUUCAAUUAUGUGUUAUAGUCAUACAAUUUUUCAUCAUUGGGUUUCCCACGGCCUCAAUGCAUAUACUCAUCACAAGAUAAGGGUCUACAGUUUGCCCCUCACUUUGGCAAAAGUUAAAAUCAAUGCGAAAACAUUGCUCAAGUUUCGUCAAAGUGAAACUCAAAUUUCUAAUAACUAUGAAACAUUGGCUAUGGAGAUCAAGUAUAUCUUGCUUAGUCGACAUACUCUAUGUUAUGAGACUGGCUACGGUCUCAUAACAGUGAUAACUGUGUCUUGUGAAAAAUGAGUGUAUCUUGCUUUAUCGAUACACUUUGCGUCAUGAGACUAGCUACGGUCUCAUAACAGUGAUAACUGUGUCAUGUGAAAAUUGAGUGCAUCUUGCUCUGUCGAUACACUCUGUGUCAUGAGACUAGCUACGGUCUCAUGACAAUAGCAACUGUGUGAUUUGAAAUGUUGUGGAUUCGUAUUUAGGACCGUAGUUCUAAACUACCUACGUAUCCCCCUCGCUAUCCUGAGGAAGAAUCAGACCCACUCAUAGUUCGACACUUGAAACUGUGGUGAUGCAUGUUCUUCUAUACCUUACACACCUACAAGUGACAUGUUGAUGCGUGUUCUUCUACGCCUUACACAACUAUGCCAUGUGCCCUAAAUAACGUCUAAGGACUUACCAAAAAACAUCUGUCAUGAAAUGUUGUGGGUUCGUAUUUAGGACCAUGAUCAUAAACUGCCUACUUAUCCCCCUCGCUAUCCUGAGGAAGAAUCAGACCCCCUCGUAGUUCGACACUUGAAACUGUGGUGAUGUAUGUUCUUCUACGCCUUACAUACCUACAGGUGACAUGUUGAUGCGUGUUCUUCUACGCCUUACACAACUAUGUCAUAUACCCUAAACAAUGUUUAAGGACUUACCAAAAAAUAUAUGUCUUAGGACUGCAGUCCUAAACUACCUACGUAUCUCCCUCGCUAUCUUGAGGAAGAAUCAGACCCCCUCGUUGUAACACCCCUAUUUGUAUAGCCUGGUAUAUUUCACUAUUCUGGUGACCGGUGUCGGUCCGGAUAAUUAAGGGGAUUAGAACCACACUUAAGACAACUAGAUAAAUAACAAACACAAAUAAUUAGUAAUGUCCAAUUAGUUAAGUAUAAACAAGAAAAACAGAACAUAAGAAGUUAAACGAGCCGAGAGUCACAGCGUUGGGUGACCUUCUCAGGAAUGACUGCGAAGUCAUUUUAAACUAAAUUUCGAACCGUAAAAUGUGACGUCGCGAUCCUUAGGACCCUUAUAAACACAGUGGAAAAGAGAAAAUCACGAAAAAGAACUGUUAAGCCAAUCAAAUAAUUAGGUCAGGGAGCCGGAAGAAAUAUAUAAUUAAUUGCAAACCGGGAUAAACCGGCGAGGGGCAAUUUGGUCAAUUGACCCCGAGAGUUGACUCUUGACCUAACUGUCAAAUAAAAUCGGAGAAAAGAAAACUUCUGAAUCGAGAAUUAAAUUAAAGAACUAAUAGAAAUAAAUAAAUUAAAAAAAAAAGGAAAUGAAAAAGUAAAAAGGUGAUGACAUCAUGCAUGAUGCCAUAAAAACAAUACUUAAUAUAUUUAUUUAAUUGGGAUUUUUUGGUCUUCCAUAAGUGAAUAAAAGAAAAGAAAAGAAAAACAAAAAAUUAUUGUCUUCCUUACCCAAACUUGCCGCCUCAUCCUCUCUCUCUCCCUCACCAUUGCAAACUCCAUUAAAAGCUUGUCUUUAAGCUUUGAAACUCUUACCAAAUCCCAACUUCUUUCAUAAUCACUCCAUAAAACCUUAUUCCCUUUCCUUGAGAAAGAAAUUUAACCAGAAAGAAAGAAGAAAAGAGGAGAAAAAUUGAAGAUUGGAUAUCAAAGUUGAGGUAAGCACAUCAAUUUGAAAGUUUGAGAUUAUUUGUUGUGUUUUUAGCUUGAAUGACUUGUAAAUAAACUUAAAAUAGAAAGAAAAUUUGUUUGAGGGACCAAAUUGAAAUUCGACCAGUAUGAAGGGGGGAGGGUGAUUUGCAUGAUUUGAAUAGUUUGAAUGGGUAUAUAAAUCUUAUUUAGUUGAAUGACUAUGGUUAAAGGCAUGGAAUCAAGUAAAUGCAACAAAUUAGUGUGGAUUAGGGUUUGGACAUUAGGGUUUAGGGACCAAAAAUGUGAAGAAGUGCUAAAUGAUGUCUUUGACAUAGUUUAAGGAAAGAAAUGGCCAUUUGUGACCUAAUUAAGUGUGUUAGAAGUGUUUGAAUCAAAGUCAAAUUCGGAUUGGGUAUGCACCAUGACCAAAAGUCAACUUUGAAGGACCAAAAAUAGAAUUUUACAAAUCCAAUGGAUAUGGGACUAAUUGGGGAUGAAAAUAGGUACUAAAUGACACAAUUUUUAUUUACGAAGCAUGCCCAAAAAGUGACUGAAACCUAGUGAACAAAUUGACUAAAGUUGAAAAAUUGCAGGCUGCCCUGCACAAACUGACCAAAUGAACAGUAUUUGUUCAUUUAGUCAUAACUCGAGCUAGGCAGGUCAAAAUGACCUGAAAUUUUACCAGUGGUUAGAUGAGAUAUAGAUCUAAAACUUUCAUGAUGAACACAAACCCAAAUUAUGCCAUUAACCCAAUCAAAUCACUGAGCAAAGUUGGAUCACUGAACCUGCAAAACUGCAGAUUUACCAUAUGAACAGUAAAGUUUCAAUGGCUAUAACUCUCUCUAGAAAACUCUGAUUUAUGUGAUUCUUAAACCGAUGGAAACCUAAGGCAUAGUAGAACAUUUCAUAUGAAGAAAAUUAGACCAAAUUAUGGACCUAACUUGAUCAAAUUGCUGAACAAAAUUGGAAUCAAUAAUCUGCCAAAACAAAAUUCUGCAGCAUGAACAGUAAACGUAAUUUGCAUAUAACUUAAGCUACAAAACUCCAAUUGGAGUGAUUCAAAAAGGAGAAUAAACUUAAGACAAUAAGAAACAUUUUCUAUGAAGGAAGUUUUGUCAAAUUCUAACAGUAAAGUGACCAAUGGAACAGUGCAAACUUAGAUACCAAAACUGAAAAUUCGGCAAUUUUGCCUAAAAGACCUAAGUUUUGAGAAAAUGACCAAAACUAACAAGUUUGGUGACCAAAAUGUGGUAUGUGGGUGAAGUUGAAAUUCCCAUACCUAUUAAGCCUUAGAAAGUCAAUAAUUUGACUUGAAUAGUGUAGUGAAUAGUAACCCGAAACAUAAAAAAUUUCAAGAACGUCGAGUUUAGCACAUUAGAGCUAGGUAAAAGUGAAGUUAAAUUUAUUUUUGAAUUUAUGCUAAGUUAUGGUAUUGAAACACUGUGAACUAUGUGUUUCAGCUGAAAAAGACUUGGAAGCUCGAAGAUACUGAGUCAAGGCCCAGAGGCGACUCACGUCAGAUAAGAGCAAAGAGAAAGCAGCAGAGUGAGCUGCGAGAUUGACAACAACUCUUGAUCAAUUUUGUACGGGUAUUGUUUUAUACUCUUGUAAUUAUUUUGAUGUAAAUACUGUAAUGUCAUAAGUAUCAAUGUAAAGUGAGCAGUUGUAUAAUAAAUUGUAAUAAUAUUAUUUUUGGAACUUCUUUUUGUAAAUUAACAUUUGUAGUUUGUGAAUUUCAUACCUUAUGCAAUGUGAAUGAAGUUAUUAAAUAUUUUGAGAUGAUAAA